RNAcentral lists this ribosomal RNA (492 nucleotides) under uncultured bacterium. RNAcentral's name for it is "partial 16S ribosomal RNA". It matches the Rfam family "Bacterial small subunit ribosomal RNA", at positions 29 to 507 of the family's 1533-position model. The record is from RNAcentral.
AGUGAACGCUGGCGGUAGGCCUAACACAUGCAAGUCGAACGGCAGCACCGUAAGAGCUUGCUCUUACGGGUGGCGAGUGGCGGACGGGUGAGGAAUACAUCGGAAUCUACUUUUUCGGGGGGGCUAACGUAGGGAAACUUACGCUAAUACCGCAUACGACCUACUGGUGAAAGCAGGGGAUCUUCGAACCUUGCGCGAUUGAAUGAGCCGAUCUCGGCUGCGCUAGUUGGCUGGGUAAAGGCCCACCAAGGCGACGCUCCGUAGCUGGUCCGACAGGAUGAUUCGCUACACGGGAACUGAGACACGGCCCAGACACCUGCGGGGGGAAGCAGUGGGGAAUAUUGCGCAAUGGGCGAAAGGCUGAUCCAGCAAUACCGCGUGAGGGAAGAAGGCCUUCGGGUUGUAAAGUGCUGUUGUUGGGAAAGAAAAAAAGCUGGUUUAUACCCGGCUGUACUGACGGUACCCAAAGAAUAAGCACCGGCUAACUUCGUG